GAUGAAGAACGUAGCGAAAUGCGAUAAGUAAUGUGAAUUGCAGAAUUCAGUGAAUCAUCGAAUCUUUGAACGCACCUUGCGCUCCUUGGUAUUCCGAGGAGCAUGCCUGUUUGAGUGUCAUUAAAUUCUCAACCCUUUCAGCUUUUGCGAGCUGGAUUGGCUUGGAUAUGGGGGUUUGCGGGCUUCUCAGAAGUCGGCUCCUCUUAAAUAUAUUAGCGGAACCUUUGUGGACCAACUUUGGUGUGAUAAUUAUCUACGCCAUGGUUGUGAAGCAGCUUUACAUGGGGUUCAGCUUCUAAUCGUCUAUUAACUUGGACAAUUUCUGACAUUUUGACCUCAAAUCAGGUAGGACUACCCGCUGAACUUAAGCAUAUCAAUAAGCGGAGGA
This 388-nucleotide unclassified non-coding RNA is filed under the name soil metagenome. RNAcentral describes it as "partial contains 5.8S ribosomal RNA, internal transcribed spacer 2, and large subunit ribosomal RNA". The stretch from base 1 to 120 matches the Rfam family "5.8S ribosomal RNA", at positions 35 to 154 of the family's 154-position model. The record is from RNAcentral.